UACGUAGGGUGCGAGCGUUAAUCGGAAUUACUGGGCGUAAAGCGUGCGCAGGCGGUUUUGUAAGCCAGAUGUGAAAGCCCCGGGCUCAACCUGGGAAUGGCAUUUGGGACUGCAAGGCUGGAGUUUGGCAGAGGAGACUGGAAUUCCUGGUGUAGCAGUGAAAUGCGUAGAUAUCAGGAGGAAUACCGAUGGCGAAGGCAGGUCUCUGGGCUAUAACUGACGCUGAGAAGCGAAAGCAUGGGGAGCGAACAGG
This 253-nucleotide ribosomal RNA is filed under the name uncultured bacterium. Its description in RNAcentral is "partial 16S ribosomal RNA". It matches the Rfam family "Bacterial small subunit ribosomal RNA", at positions 524 to 776 of the family's 1533-position model. The record is from RNAcentral.